GACGAACGCUGGCGGCGUGCUUAACACAUGCAAGUCGAACGAUGGAGGAGAGCUUGCUCUCCGGAUGAGUGGCGAACGGGUGAGUAACACGUGACUAACCUGCCCCUUUCUCUGGGAUCACGCUCCGAAAGGAGUGCUAAUACCGGAUACGAACUAUGAACCCAUGUUCGGAGUUGGAAAGUGUUUCGGAAAGGGAUGGAGUCGCGGCCUAUCAGCUUGUUGGUGAGGUAACGGCUCACAAAGGCGACGACGGGUAGCCGGCCUGAGAGGGCGACCGGCCACACUGGGACUGAGACACGGCCCAGACUCCUACGGGAGGCAGCAGUGGGGAAUAUUGCACAAUGGGCGAAAGCCUGAUGCAGCGACGCCGCGUGAGGGAUGAAGGUCUUCGGAUUGUAAACCUCUUUCAGUAGGGACGAAGCGAAAGUGACGGUACCUAAAGAAGAAGCACCGGCUAACUACGUGCCAGCCGCCGCGGUAA
RNAcentral lists this ribosomal RNA (481 nucleotides) under uncultured bacterium. RNAcentral describes it as "partial 16S ribosomal RNA". It matches the Rfam family "Bacterial small subunit ribosomal RNA", at positions 28 to 523 of the family's 1533-position model. The record is from RNAcentral.